GCCUCCAGAGUGGUACUUGAACCACCGCUCUCCUAAAGCGGGUGCCGCAGGUUCGAAUCCUGCCGGGGGCA
RNAcentral lists this transfer RNA (71 nucleotides) under Microbispora sp. KK1-11. RNAcentral describes it as "tRNA-Arg". It matches the Rfam family "tRNA". From Rfam's summary of the family: Transfer RNA (tRNA) molecules are approximately 80 nucleotides in length. Their secondary structure includes four short double-helical elements and three loops (D, anti-codon, and T loops). The record is from RNAcentral. Lineage: Bacteria; Bacillati; Actinomycetota; Actinomycetes; Streptosporangiales; Streptosporangiaceae.